CCUACGUGUGGCAGCAGUGAGGAAUAUUGGUCAAUGGACGAGAGUCUGAACCAGCCAAGUAGCGUGAAGGAUGACUGCCCUAUGGGUUGUAAACUUCUUUUAUAUGGGAAUAAAAUGUUCCUCGCGAGGGAUUUUGUAUGUACCAUAUGAAUAAGGAUCGGCUCACUCAGUGCCAGCAGCCGCGGUAAUACGGAGGAUCCGAGCGUUAUCCGGAUUUAGUGGGUUUAAAGGGAGCGUAGGUGGAUUGUUAAGUCAGUUGUGAAAGUUUGCGGCUCAACCGUAAAAUUGCAGUUGAAACUGGCAGUCGUGAGUGCAGUAGAGGUGGGCGGAAUGCGGGGUGUAGCGGUGAAAUGCUUAGAUAUCACGAAGAACUCCGAUUGCGAAGGCAGCUCACUGGACUGCAACUGACACUGAGGCUCGAAAGUGUGGGUAUCAAACAGGAUUAGUUACCCUUGUAGUC
Molecule: ribosomal RNA, 460 nt
Filed under: uncultured bacterium
Lineage: Bacteria
Description: partial 16S ribosomal RNA
Rfam family: Bacterial small subunit ribosomal RNA
Source: RNAcentral